Engraulis encrasicolus (European anchovy) is the source of this 609-nucleotide long non-coding RNA. RefSeq lists it as uncharacterized. The transcript has 5 exons. Lineage: Eukaryota; Metazoa; Chordata; Actinopteri; Clupeiformes; Engraulidae. The record is from RefSeq and is a predicted model, not a curated record.
AUGUGUGAAACCUGAAGUUAAGAGAUUCAUUUCUGGGUCGUGCUACAACAAGUGAGAAACUAACGGCCGUUUGGCUGUCCAAUCGCGUGACUGUGGACAUUUGAAAGCAGACUUCCGCCCGCCUUUUCUACCGUUGGAAAUGCAAGAUGCGGCGACUUGACUUCAGACACCGAGAGAGGCUGGCGGCCCAGGUCUUGUGGCCACAUCUGUCCAAGCUCCUACUCUGAUUGAACAGUUGGAUGAUCAGACUGAUGAUGAAAAGUGCUACACAGUUCUCACACAUCUUCUGACUCCGAAGCCGCUGCAGUGUAAAAUCUGAGAUGUCUUUUCUGGUUGAUUUUGUGCAGAUUUCUGACAGCGACAGCGAUGGUGAGGGAAGCAGUGUACCGAACUCUCAGAUGACUCGGACCAGGUGACCAAACCCAUGCAAAGCACAAUGACUGUGCUGAGGCGUUCCGCCCCCCUCCCCCUCCACACCACUCAAGGCACGGCGGCGGCCCAACCGCAAACUAACGUGAGUACACAACACACACACACUUGUGUGCAUGCCACGCACUGACACUUUCUCUACAGUGACUUGUCAACUUUCCUUACAUUGUGUGUGUGCGU